RNAcentral lists this ribosomal RNA (468 nucleotides) under uncultured bacterium. RNAcentral's name for it is "partial 16S ribosomal RNA". It matches the Rfam family "Bacterial small subunit ribosomal RNA", at positions 28 to 507 of the family's 1533-position model. The record is from RNAcentral.
GACGAACGCUGGCGGCGUGCUUAACACAUGCAAGUCGAACGGAAAGGCCCUGCUUUUGUGGGGUGCUCGAGUGGCGAACGGGUGAGUAACACGUGAGUAACCUGCCCUUGACUUUGGGAUAACUUCAGGAAACUGGGGCUAAUACCGGAUAGGAGCUCCUGCUGCAUGGUGGGGGUUGGAAAGUUUCGGCGGCUGGGGAUGGACUCGCGGCUUAUCAGCUUGUUGGUGGGGUAGUGGCUUACCAAGGCUUUGACGGGUAGCCGGCCUGAGAGGGUGACCGGUCACAUUGGGACUGAGAUACGGCCCAGACUCCUACGGGAGGCAGCAGUGGGGAAUAUUGCACAAUGGGCGGAAGCCUGAUGCAGCAACGCCGCGUGCGGGAUGACGGCCUUCGGGUUGUAAACCGCUUUCGCCUGUGACGAAGCGUGAGUGACGGUAAUGGGUAAAGAAGCACCGGCUAACUACGUG